This 1462-nucleotide long non-coding RNA is filed under the name Brachypodium distachyon (stiff brome). Its description in RNAcentral is "long non-coding RNA (BDIS_LNC004788)". Lineage: Eukaryota; Viridiplantae; Streptophyta; Magnoliopsida; Poales; Poaceae. The record is from RNAcentral.
ACACCUCUUCCUCGAAUUGUUGCUUGUGCUUGGUCCAUCAGGGUCUUCAUAGAUCUUUGCGAUGCCUUGUACAAACACGCCCAUUUUUGCUUGCACAAUGUUUGAGAUAUCGGUGCAAACACUGUUGACGAGGUCGGCAUUCCUCUUCUUCUGUAUAAUGACAAUGCAAAAAGUUGCAGGGAUGAGGAUUGUGUAAAAAGUUGCUGCUGUGCUGUGUAAAAGUUGCUAUAUUUGAUUACUUACGUUUGCACUUGUGUUCCUUGGGAGUCUCGCGGCAACAAACUCUUCUGCCGCGGCUGCUCCUUGAAAUAAAACAUUCGUUUCUUCCCCCUGAGCUGGCUCCACAUAAAUAUCCUUCAGCUAGCAAAAAGAAGCAUCGGCGUUGCCGUGUUUUAGGCUGUAGUUGCAGGAAACAGAAAAAGCAAAAGGCAUGAUGUGGUUUGUAACUAUUUUGCAGUUCCAGCAACUUCCCCCAUAAAAGGCAAUAAUCAAAAUUAUGGUUAGGUUUGCAACUAUUUUUGCAGCUCCAGCAACUUCUAAUGCACAUGGUGUAGUUUAUCCAAAAAAAACACAAAAAAAAAGAGUUUGCCGGUUAGGUGCGCGAAAAGACGGCGAUGAGCACUCAGGGGCAAGUUGCGAAACUGGCCGUCCUCCUUCAUGUCCUUCUUGAUGACCCUGCUGAUAAGUUGUUUGGUCCAUGCUUGAGCCUGCACCUUGCUUCUGCUGAUCUGCUCGCCGUGGUCAAGGGAAUCCAGGUACAACAGCUCCCCCCCACACACCCCCCCCCCCCGCCCCCAAAAAGGGAAAGAAAGAAAAGACACAUUAUGCCACAUGCGCGCCGCCGGGGAUUCCCUGUUUUAGAGCUAGAACGUACAUAAAAAUUUGGCGAGCAGAAAAUAUCCAGAGAAGCAUACCACAAGGUGGAAGACGCAGCAGGACACUGAGUUCUUCUUGUCACCCAAGUCGACGAAGGCAUAGUGUAUAGAAUCCACCACAAAUUGGCAGAAAUCUAAGUUGUCCAAGAUCUUGAGAUCAACAACAGCAGGAAAGCUUUUCAGGCUGACCUUUGUGCUUGUGCUGGGUCAUAGAAAUCCACUUAUGGCAACAAUAAGCCAGGCUCUGAAGAAUUUAUCAUUGGCUUUUCCCCUCAUGUCCUUGAUCAUUUGAACCCAGGUGGGCAGCGGAGGAGAGCUUCCUGUCCCAAGACUAUACUGCUCUCUGAUGAAGUUGGACGCGUCCUGAUCUGACUCAUAGGGCACGGCACGCCCCCUGUUGGGUAGGUUCCAGAUUCUACUCACGCUCUUUGCAUCCACGACUAUGCUUCCCCUCCUUGGGAAGAGCAUCUCGCAUGUGCGAACACUAUAUGGCGACAUCAGAAACUUGCUGAAUCUGUCAUUCAUUGUGCCUGGGACAAACGUCAAACCUCCAAAUCCCUUCUUCUCGAUGAGCUUGAUUUGCGCAG